GCCGCACGGUGACCACAUCAAAGCCCUCCCCCACAAGGUUGUGGCCUGGUGCGAAGGGAGCGGACUCACACUGGCUGCCAUUCCCAGUCUGACAGGAGAGAACAGGGGAGUGGUACGACAGAAAGAGGAGGAGACUCAGUUGGAAUUUCCUGGAUGAGACCUUGGCCCUAGACUGUGGAAACAUGUUAAGUGGAAACUGAUGUUUUGUAGAACUAAGCACUUGCUUUGCCGUCUUUGCCUUUCUUUUUUGGUGUUUUCUGAGAAUUCUCUCGCUGACUCUCUCAACAUAAUACAUUCUAAAAAAUAGUCACCAUAGAGUGUCAGGAAACAGAUUUCUGUUUUUAGGGUUCAAACCCCAAAGGUGUAGAACCUUAUUGCUGCUUAACAAAUUGAAUUGAACCUGACCUUUUAGCAAAAUUUUAUUAAUUUUGUUUGUUGAUAUUGUUUACUUAUUAAUAGUUAGCCUUAGUCUUUGCUGUUGUUUGCACAGUUAACACUGUUUUGUUGCAUUGAUUUAACUGACUUUAUCCAAAGAAACUGAGAUUUAGCACAAGUGUGGUGCUCAGGAUAAGGUCAGUUUUACCCAUAUUUAUUAUAUUAUAUUUAUUAUAUUUAUAUUUAGACUGUACACUGUGCGUCAUGUUGCACAUACUGCCAUAAUUUAUCCAUUUAUUGUUGUCUUGGGCACUGAUGUUGUUUGCAGCAAAUAAUAUGGCAUUGUGGAACAAUAGGUUUGGAAAACACAAUUCUCAUUCAUGUUUCCUGUAAUAAAAAAAACAUUUUAAUCUUUUAAAAAUCUUUUUAUUUUUGUGUUUACGCUUUAUUUCAUAGUGACAGUAGAGACAGACAGGAAAGGCAGGGGAGAGAGGCUGCAUUAAGGACUCAGCCUUGAUACACAGGUGAACUACCCAGGCGCCCCUGUUUACUGUAAUGUUUAGGACAUGAAGCGCAUGUUUGGCAGUCUUUAUUUGCAGGGUUACACAAAUUUUGACACAAGUGAAAUUUGAACCAGCUACACAAUCUGCAGUCCAAAUGUAAACUGCCCCACCACCACAAUUCACUAUUCAAACAAUGCGGGGACUACACUGAUUGUUGAAUUUUUUUGCUACAUUUUUAAUUCUAAUCCAUUGGAAACCAAACAAAAUAUGACUUUUACUUUUAAAGUGAUUAUCAAGUCAAGAAUGUGAAUUUACCUGUAAUUUAUGUGAAGAAAAAAAAAA
Micropterus salmoides (largemouth bass) is the source of this 1220-nucleotide long non-coding RNA. RefSeq lists it as uncharacterized. The record is from RefSeq and is a predicted model, not a curated record. The transcript has 2 exons. Lineage: Eukaryota; Metazoa; Chordata; Actinopteri; Centrarchiformes; Centrarchidae.